This 1170-nucleotide long non-coding RNA is filed under the name Monodelphis domestica (gray short-tailed opossum). RNAcentral describes it as "lncRNA (ENSMODG00000041869.1)". Lineage: Eukaryota; Metazoa; Chordata; Mammalia; Didelphimorphia; Didelphidae. The record is from RNAcentral.
GUUGGUGAAGACCCUUAUUGGUUAUCUGACUCCAUUUGCUAUAACUUUCCAUUCAUCCCCCCCCCCCCCAUAUUGUACUGAAACCAGUACCAUACAGAACCUUCAAUGGGGGAAAAGAAUAUAGGAAAAAGAUAUGAAGGAUCUUGGUGUUGUAUGAAAUUAAUAUAAAUAUAUAACUCAUAGUUGGCACAUCCAUAUUAAGGUAGGGCAUGGAGUGAAAGUGUAGUUUCUGACUUCAGGAAGCUCCCUUGCAUGUCUGUGGUGUCAUUAUGUCAGGUCACAUGACCCAGACUGUCCAAUCAAAAGCAAACUAGGUGAAACAUCAUAGGCAGUAAGGCUCUGAUGUCUUCCUGAAUUCAAGUCCUCUCCUUGACUGGCCUUAAUUUCUUUGGUCCAAUUAUAUGUAGGAUGGGCCCCUGGCCACUUGUAAAGUGGUUCAGGCAGAUUGGGAAUAUAGGACUGGAUGAAUCAGCAGUACAGCUUUAGUGUUCAACAAGGAUCUCAUGAGACUGUCUGCCCCACCUUCUUUCACUACUGGAGCCUUUGUCUCAGGAAACACUCUGUCUGGGACCCAAGAUAGCCAUGAAUAAUAACACCUGAUGAAUUUUGAAGAAAGAGAAGACCUACACAUGGCAGAAAUGGAGAUCAAUGUAUUCUAGGAUUGAGAGAUGGUAUAUGUGUAUAGAGGCAGAGUUACAUUCAUUCCCAUUACAAGCAAGGCAAGCCAAGAAUGUCAAUUACCUUCAAGCCCAAGUCUGCAGGACACAACCAAGCAACCUUGCCAGGUGUCUGAAUCAAGCACAAGAAAUAUGCAACUUGGAAAUUGAGGAAAAUCCAAUUCUGGUCUGUCUUAAAUUACCCUCUAACCCUCUACCUAAGUACGAAAUGUUUUGUUACCCAUCUCCUAAGUAACUGUGAUUGAUUGUGAAAGCUGACCAAAAGUAAAAAUGAUUCCCCUAACUGAUCAUCCCUUAGGUCAAGAGGGACUAACAUCCCUACUCAUGUCAUUUAUCUUCAUCUCUGUUUUAGCAACAAUGUUUCAUUACCUAUCUCCUUAGGCUUUGUGUCUGUCGUUAGGUUCUAUGGAAACAUAUAUGUUGGAAAAUGAUUGUGUACCAGAUAAGCAAGUGCUCAUUGAACCUAUAAAAUAAACCAACAUCUGCUAUGGCA